RNAcentral lists this microRNA (22 nucleotides) under Tribolium castaneum (red flour beetle). RNAcentral's name for it is "tca-miR-92b-5p". Its record names the gene tca-miR-92b-5p. The record is from miRBase by way of RNAcentral. Lineage: Eukaryota; Metazoa; Arthropoda; Insecta; Coleoptera; Tenebrionidae.
AGGUCGUGUCUUGUGCAACUUG